Long non-coding RNA from Seriola aureovittata, 448 nucleotides. RefSeq lists it as uncharacterized. The transcript is spliced from 3 exons. Lineage: Eukaryota; Metazoa; Chordata; Actinopteri; Carangiformes; Carangidae. The record is from RefSeq and is a predicted model, not a curated record.
GGACGCCUUUCCCCUCGUCAUGCAGCAGGUUACUGUAGCAGUUCUCCAUCGGCGCACUCACAAGAGUCUGAGCCUGAAACACAACAGGUCAGUUAGAGCUGCAACAAAUCAAUCAGCAAUCAAUUAUUCUGAUAAACAACCAGGAUGAGGACGCUCUCUCCCACAGUGUCGAUCCCUGCUCGCCCGGCCCGCCCCACCAUCUGUUUGUACUGACUCCUCUUCAGGAAGUCUGUGGCCACGUACGGAGACCGCAGGAUGACUCUGGAGAGAGGACAUCAGGCCCAGAGACGGGUUACACUCGUCCUCUCAUGAGGUAAGUUGAUCCCUGCGGCGAGGGUGGAUGUACAGGUGAGGAGACAGAGGACCCCGUUGGAGUAGGCCUCCUCCACCAGCUUCCUCUCCUCCGUGGUCAGUCCGCUGUGGUGAUAGGCCAGACCGUACGGCACCG